GACAGAGGAUGCAAGCGUUAUCCGGAAUGAUUGGGCGUAAAGCGUCUGUAGGUGGCUUUUUAAGUCUGCCGUCAAAUCCCAGGGCUUAACCCUGGACAGGCGGUGGAAACUACCAAGCUGGAGUACGGUAGGGGCAGAGGGAAUUUCCGGUGGAGCGGUGAAAUGCGUAGAUAUCUGGAGGAACACCGGUGGCGAAGGCGACAUCCUGGACCGGUAUUGACGCUGAGGCGCGAAAGCCAGGGGAGCAAACGGG
Molecule: ribosomal RNA, 253 nt
Filed under: uncultured bacterium
Lineage: Bacteria
Description: partial 16S ribosomal RNA
Rfam family: Bacterial small subunit ribosomal RNA
Source: RNAcentral